UACAGAGGUCUCAAGCGUUGUUCGGAUUCAUUGGGCGUAAAGGGUGUGUAGGUGGCGCGCUAAGUCGGGUGUGAAAUCUCGGGGCUUAACUCCGAAACUGCAUUCGAUACUGCCGUGCUUGAGGACUGGAGAGGAGACUGGAAUUUACGGUGUAGCGGUGAAAUGCGUAGAUAUCGUAAGGAAGACCAGUGGCGAAGGCGGGUCUCUGGACAGUUCCUGACGCUGAGGCACGAAGGCCAGGGGAGCAAACGAG
Molecule: ribosomal RNA, 253 nt
Filed under: uncultured bacterium
Lineage: Bacteria
Description: partial 16S ribosomal RNA
Rfam family: Bacterial small subunit ribosomal RNA
Source: RNAcentral